Molecule: unclassified non-coding RNA, 380 nt
Filed under: Hevea brasiliensis (rubber tree)
Lineage: Eukaryota; Viridiplantae; Streptophyta; Magnoliopsida; Malpighiales; Euphorbiaceae
Source: RNAcentral
GAUGUUAAAGGAGGAGAUGAUCGUUGCAAUAGGCCUCCGCUGAGUGGAAGUUAUGGCCAGUUCGCAGAGUUUUGAGAAUAAGAGAGAGUCAAGAUAGAGCCAUUGGCUUCGCGCGGUUUCCAACAAGUAAUUUUAUAAUUACGAUAAAUUACAAUUACGUCCUUAAAGUUUAAUAAAACUCACAUUUCAGUCUCUGAUGUAAGUUUAAUAAUAAUUUAAUCCUUAAAUUUUAUUUAUGUUUUAUUAACAAAUUGAUUCUCAAAAUUCACUAGUUAUAAAAACCAAUUUGUUAAUAAAAGUAAAACAUAAGGAUGAAAUUGGACCAUAAAGUCCCUCUCAAUUUUCAAUUUUGAACAGGUUUGAUUUGAUUUUGAUCAAAG